RNAcentral lists this ribosomal RNA (240 nucleotides) under Staphylococcus aureus. RNAcentral's name for it is "partial 16S ribosomal RNA". It matches the Rfam family "Bacterial small subunit ribosomal RNA", at positions 1304 to 1533 of the family's 1533-position model. The record is from RNAcentral. Lineage: Bacteria; Bacillati; Bacillota; Bacilli; Caryophanales; Staphylococcaceae.
UCUGCAACUCGACUACAUGAAGCUGGAAUCGCUAGUAAUCGUAGAUCAGCAUGCUACGGUGAAUACGUUCCCGGGUCUUGUACACACCGCCCGUCACACCACGAGAGUUUGUAACACCCGAAGCCGGUGGAGUAACCUUUUAGGAGCUAGCCGUCGAAGGUGGGACAAAUGAUUGGGGUGAAGUCGUAACAAGGUAGCCGUAUCGGAAGGUGCGGCUGGAUCACCUCCUUUCUAAGGAGA